GUGGGGAAUAUUGGACAAUGGGCGCAAGCCUGAUCCAGCCAUACCGCGUGGGUGAAGAAGGCCUUCGGGUUGUAAAGCCCUUUUGUUGGGAAAGAAAUCCUGUCGAUUAAUACUCGGUGGGGAUGACGGUACCCAAAGAAUAAGCACCGGCUAACUUCGUGCCAGCAGCCGCGGUAAUACGAAGGGUGCAAGCGUUACUCGGAAUUACUGGGCGUAAAGCGUGCGUAGGUGGUGGUUUAAGUCUGCUGUGAAAGCCCUGGGCUCAACCUGGGAAUUGCAGUGGAUACUGGGUCACUAGAGUGUGGUAGAGGGAUGCGGAAUUUCUGGUGUAGCAGUGAAAUGCGUAGAGAUCAGAAGGAACAUCCGUGGCGAAGGCGGCAUCCUGGGCCAACACUGACACUGAGGCACGAAAGCGUGGGGAGCAAACAGGAUUAGAUACCCUAGUAGUCC
This 450-nucleotide ribosomal RNA is filed under the name uncultured bacterium. RNAcentral describes it as "partial 16S ribosomal RNA". It matches the Rfam family "Bacterial small subunit ribosomal RNA", at positions 354 to 796 of the family's 1533-position model. The record is from RNAcentral.